CUCUCUCUCUCUCUCUCUCUCUCACACGCACGCACACACGCACACACACACACACACACACACACAACUUCCACCAGCCAAGGACUCUGUGGGAAGGGAACACACUGUUGUAGUCUAACCAGACUCUAACAUGGGAGCAUGAGGUGUGUUGGUGAGUACAAUCUGUGUACCUUCUGUUAUGGCCUUAUGAAACUGCAUGGAGGCCAGUAUUAACACUUAUGAAGCUAUAUGGAGGCCAGUAUUAACACUUAUGAAGCUAUUUGGAGGCCAGUAUUAACACUUAAGUUCCAAUUCCAUGAAACCAGAAGGGUGGUCAAUUGUUUGAAUAAAGCAUCUUUAUAUUGUAUUAAAUUACCUGACAGUCCCAAAUUGCCCCUUUUAAAUUAACUGACAAUCCCCAAAAUAAACUAGGUUAAAAAGGGAAAGAAAAGCCAUGAAACAACUUGGAUGGAACCUCUAAGCGAAGCCUCAAGUUUUUGGUCCAUUUUCAGCCCCAUUCCACAGUCAUGCUUCUGAUUCCUCUAAAGUCUCCCACUCUCUGUUCUUCAAAGCCGGCAAUACCCUCCUCAGUGUGUGUGUGUGUGUGUGUGUGUGUGUGUGUGUGUGUGUGUGUGUGUGUGUGUGUGUGUGUGUGUGUGUGUGUGUGUGUGUGUGUGUGUGUGUGUGUGUGUGUGUGUGUGUGUGUGUGUGUGUGCGCGCUCGCUGCUCAGUGUGAUCACUCAGAAAGAGGCUGUUCACCUGUUCAGAAUUCUUAUGUAAUUCUACUUCAAAGCUUCUGAUCCGAAUGGUUCUCCCUCCUCUGAGCCCACUCUCUGGUCCCUAGACAAGACUAAUAGGGAGGGAGGGAGACAGAGGGGUAGGGUAGUGAGUGAUAUAGAAAGAUAGAGAUAGAGAGAGGGGGGAGAGGAUGAAUGAUGGAUGAACAAGGGAAAUCAGGGUUUAAGAGCUUUGCUGUUCUUUAAAGGGAGCAAAUUAUACGUAGCCUCAAAACAAUGGGAGAGAGAGAGAGAGAGAGAGAGAGAGAGAGAGAGAGAGAGAGAGAGAGAGAGAGAGAGAGAGAGAGAGAGAGAGAGAGAGAGAGAGAGAGAGAGAGAGAAGUCAGCCGAGAUGUGACCAUGUAGGAAUUAAUGAAGUUCUUAGACAGACGAUACACCAGUGAGGGAUUUUACAGGCUAAGAGCCGAGCCUGAGCCCCACUCCUAUAAUUGUAUUUGGAUAAAAAUGUCAUAUUCCUUUGCCUCAGAUCUAUUUUGCUAUUAUAAUUACUGAUUAUAAAUAAUGAUUUUUGUCAUGCAAUUAUAACUGUGCAAGUCCAUAAAAGUUGACUUAUUUAGUUACCUAGGCACUAAGACUCAAUUUGUAUUAUUUAUUCAUACUUCAUUCACACAGCCUCGAAUCAGACCCUAUGACACUAGACCAAAGAUAGCAAAUACGCUAUGUUAUACUGUAUACCGCUAUUCACAUUCAUUGCCAUCACCCAAAAAGAAGAAAAAUCAACAGGAAACAAGAGGGUCAGCUGAUACAUACGGUAUGCCUGUGCUUCAUAUAUAUCAAUUCACUUCAGAUCUCAAGGAGUCCCUGGAGGUGAUAUUGUAAACACAUAAAAACACAAAAAAGCAUUAGGAGAUUAUUGUUGUGGUACUGUAGCUAGGAUAUGUUAGAUUUCUCUCCAUUCUAAGGCUUGACUGACAGAUAAUCAACAUAAUGAAAAUGUUCUAGUCUGAAGAGACAAACAAAACAACACAUCUGUGAAUUCCAAGGAAAGUGAUACAGAAGCAAUAGAACUGUAAGUAGAGGAAAAUUGGUCUGUAUUAGACUGAGCAGGACCUACAACAGGACAGAUAGAUUACUGUGUAUUAAUUGUAUCCUCUGUCUCUCUCUCUCUCUCUCUGUGUCCCCCUCCCUCUCUUUAUCUUGUGCAUCAACACCAACAACUGAUAAAGCAGAUUGCAUAAUGCAUGGAACAGGAACAGGGGCAGUGGAGAUUUAGAGCAAAUCUCUCUCUCUUUCCCUCCAUCCCCGCUUCUCUCUCUCUCUCUGUUUGUGAUGGAAAGAUUACAUAAGAGAGGAGUAGAGAUGGAUUCAGGUCGAGGGGUGGAGUGCUGGUGUGACUGAUUAGACCAGACACCCAAAUGGACAGGCUCCGGCUAUGGGAGAAGGGAGCGAGAUUAACCUUGUCCUGCCCAGGGGCAGAGGCACUGCUGGUUGUACGAGCUGUUCGGUCCAUUCCACUCUACUGGACUGUUCUAUCCUAACCCCUGUGUGUACUGCUCCAAAAAUAAACACCGUAAAGGAGAGCGAGAGUAAUCACAUAUGCACCCACACACACACACAUAUGCAUGCACACAGGAACACACACACACACACACACACACACACACAUAUGCAUGCACACAGGACACACACACACACACACACACACACACACACACACACACACACACACACACACACACACACAUAUGCAUGCACACAGGAACACACACACACACAUAUGCAUGCACACAGAUACAUACACACACACACACACACACACACACACACACACACACACACACACACAUGGACGCAUAUGCAUGCACACAGGAACAUACACACACACAUACACACACACACACACGCACGCAUAUGCAUGCACACAGGAACAUACAUACAUACACACACACACACACACACACACACACACACACACACACACACACACACACACACACACACACACACACACACACACACACACACAUAUGCAUGCACACAGAUAAAUACAAACACACACACACAUGCACGCAUAUGCGCGCACACAGGAACAUACAUACACACACACACACACACACACACACACACACACACACACACACACAGGAACAUACACACACACACAUAUGCACGCACACAGAUAAAUACAAACACACACACACAUGCACGCAUAUGCGCGCACGCAGGUACAUACACAUACA
RNAcentral lists this long non-coding RNA (2956 nucleotides) under Salmo salar (Atlantic salmon). RNAcentral describes it as "lncRNA (ENSSSAG00000111025.1)". The record is from RNAcentral. Lineage: Eukaryota; Metazoa; Chordata; Actinopteri; Salmoniformes; Salmonidae.